This 726-nucleotide ribosomal RNA is filed under the name uncultured bacterium. Its description in RNAcentral is "bacterial SSU rRNA". It matches the Rfam family "Bacterial small subunit ribosomal RNA", at positions 94 to 823 of the family's 1533-position model. The record is from RNAcentral.
AGCGGCGAACGGGUGAGUAACACGUAGGUGAUCUGCCCAUCAGACGGGGACAACGAUUGGAAACGAUCGCUAAUACCGGAUAGGACGAAAGUUUAAAGGUGCUUCUGGCACCGCUGAUGGAUGAGCCUGCGGCGCAUUAGCUAGUUGGUAGGGUAAAGGCCUACCAAGGCGACGAUGCGUAGCCGACCUGAGAGGGUGAACAGCCACACUGGGACUGAGACACGGCCCAGACUCCUACGGGAGGCAGCAGUAGGGAAUCUUCGGCAAUGGGCGAAAGCCUGACCGAGCAACGCCGCGUGAAUGAUGAAGGCCAUCGGGUUGUAAAAUUCUGUUAUAAGGGAAGAACGACUUUAGUAGGAAAUGGCUAGAGUGUGACGGUACCUUAUGAGAAAGCCACGGCUAGCUACGUGCCAGCAGCCGCGGUAAUACGUAGGUGGCGAGCGUUAUCCGGAAUUAUUGGGCGUAAAGAGCGCGCAGGUGGUUGAUUAAGUCUGAUGUGAAAGCCCACGGCUUAACCGUGGAGGGUCAUUGGAAACUGGUCGACUUGAGUGCAGAAGAGGGAAGUGGAAUUCCAUGUGUAGCGGUGAAAUGCGUAGAGAUAUGGAGGAACACCAGUGGCGAAGGCGGCUUCCUGGUCUGUAACUGACACUGAGGCGCGAAAGCGUGAGGAGCAAACAGGAUUAGAUACCCUGGUAGUCCACGCCGUAAACGAUGAGUGCUAAGUGU